Molecule: long non-coding RNA, 4662 nt
Organism: Equus caballus (horse)
Lineage: Eukaryota; Metazoa; Chordata; Mammalia; Perissodactyla; Equidae
Source: Ensembl
AAACAAUUGUGUGCAUGUGUGUGUCCAUGUGUGCCUGUAUAUAUGUGAGCGUGAGUGUGUCGUGUGUGUGUGUGUGUGUGUGUGAGUGUUAACUACUUUAGUUAAAAAGACUCUGCAUGAAGGUCAUGCACACAACUGUACAUCGUCUAAGGGUCGUCUUCUGGGGAGCUUGGUGUGUGUUGGGAAACACCCCUCUAAAAGGAAGCUCCACGUCAGAAGCAGGUUUGAAAUGCUCAAGUCCGCUCCGACAGAGAGGGGAGUUUGUGUCCUUGGUGAUGGAGAGGCUUGCCCCAUCCUGCUUUAGAGAAGGUCCGUCCUUGUCGCCAGAGCUGGCUGUCCAGGAACAUCCUGUUUGCACACAGAUGGUCACUGUGAAGGACAGAGAGGAGCCUGACUGCAUCCCCUGAGCGCUUGGAUCCAGCCAUGCCUGAAGGGAUUCUGAAGCUGGUUCUCCUAACUGGAGAAGCCCAGAAAGGAGAGCCUGGAGGAGAAGAGACAGAUUCCUUGACGUCAGUCCUGACAGGUCUCAGUCCCUCAAUGUUCUGGUUCUCUGAGCAUCCCAGCCUGUGGCUCUGAUGGACGUGGGUGGGAGGGGACAGGAUCUCAGGAGGGGCUUGGGUGGCUGCACCAACCUGGUGGGAGCAGCAUCGGGCAGGGGAGUGACCAGCCCAGAACCUCCUGUCCCACAUCCUGAGACCCGAGCAGCAGGACACCCUCUGGGAAGCUCUGCCAUCCACCCUCUCUGGGACCCACCUGCACAGGAGGCGGAAGGCAGACAAUGCAGCCAACCCUAUGCAAACACCAGAAAUUUCCAGAAUGUCGGUCCCCACCGUGGCGUGAUAGCCAGUCCCACAUACGGGUCUGUGGUGGAAGAAAAUCACCUGUGAGAAAGCAGCAGCACCAGACCCCGUAUGUUUGCUUAUUUUGUUGAUGGUUUAACUGCAAACUCGAUGUGAUUUUCUGGGGACGGGGACUGGGUUGGCACUCUGGGUAGUUUAUUACAUGACCUUUAGCGCCAAUCAUUUAUUCCCGCUGUGGUUUUCCACUUGGAUUUAUUUUCACCGCCAGCAUAGAGUCCCCCACUUGUGUUUCUGAGGGAUCUGAAGCUCACUUAAUUGGUUACCGUGGUUGACCUCCUCUUAGCUCCCAGGCGUGCCGGGAAAAGUACACCAUCCAACUCAGGACGCAGAGAGCAGCGUUUCCUCACCCUGAUUUUGAUUUGUCAUUUUUUUGAAAGUUAAGAACAAAUUUUAAGAGGGUUUGACCUAAGAUACUCAACUUUUUAUGACAAAUUAUUUGCAAACAUAAUAUCUGAACUUUGAAGUUUAGCGGGAAAGAACCUAAUAGUCACUUUUCACCUUAACUUGGGCCCUGAGCUAUCCUGGAGGCGUUGAUCUGAUUUCUGUUAAAUGAACGACAUUUCUCUUUUUCUCUGGUUCUGAGGUUUCCAGCCCUCAGAUUAGGACCAGCCCCCGAGAGGGCCUAAAUCCUCUGAGCACUUCCUCCUCAGGACCACGGACAGCGCAGACACACCCCUCCUCUCUUUGGGGCCUGGGGAGUCCCUUCCUGUACAAUUACCUUGCAGGGAAAGCCCCAGCCCUGCCUGCAGGAGCCUGUGCUCCAGGCGAGACUGCCCUCGGUACUGGAGGGGCCCUGAGCACUGAUUUGUGUUACAAACCAGAAUUCCCAAAUGUCAGUGAAUUCUGCCGGGAGACCAGGUGACACUCAGACACAGGAAGAAAUUGCCCACGGCCCUCAGAUUAGGGCCUGGCCCUGUGGCCUCCACUAGCCCAGGACAGACACCUCAGUGCAGUGACCGCUGCAUUAAAGGCUGCCGGCCCAGCUGAACCAGACACGGACCGGGAAGGAAACCCCAGGCCUGCCCACAGGAGCAUGAGGCCAGGUGGCCAUGUGGGAGCAAAGAGGGUUAUUCUCCCAGGGGAGAAGAUUGAGGCCUGAACCCAGGAAGCAGAGAGGCCUCUGGCCUCCCCCACCCCACUCUGGGUGACCUUGGACCAGUCCUGCUCUGGGCUCAGUGUUCUCAGCUGUCAUGUGACCCUGCACUGGAUCUGAGGUAUGAAACAGCAGGUGCCCCCGGUAAGCCCCAACCCACCCCAGCCGGGCCUCCCACAGAGCUGGACUCCAACCUCCAGGUGUAAGUCAGAGAAGACAGCCACUCUGAGCUCUCGGCACCCAGGGGACUGACUGCAGGGACUCAGGAACAGGGCUUGGAAGACCCAAAAGGCCAGCGGGGAUGGCCGUCACCCAGACAGCAGCGACAGCAGGCUGGGAGCAGCCACAUAGCCACUCACUGGCACCCAGGAGGGCAGGGACCAGAAGCCUGUGCACUGGGGACCGGAGCCCUGGAGAUGGCACCGCCAGAACAGCCGCAGAAGGCUCAACGAGGGGAAGGCCCCUGUGCACCGCCUUCUGUCCUUCUGUCUCCCACUUCUGCCUUCCAUCUGCCAAACCCCACAGAAGCCAGCGGACCCCAGAGGACACAGCAGGGCCAGCCCCUGGACACAGGUCAGGGGAGGCAGAGGGGUCUAAGCACAGAUAAACCAGGCUAGAGCCGGGCGUGGGCCCUCGCUGUCUGGGAUCUCUGCAUGUCUGAGGGCUUGCUUUCCCAUUGCUGCCUCUAGUGACUUUAAAAAUCACUGUCUAACAACUAAGAUAUGCAAUUAUGUACUGGGGGGGAUUUGGGGAUAAAAAGAAAAAAAAAAGAUUGGCAACAGUUGUUAGCUCAGGUGCCAAUCUUUAAAAAAAAAAAAUCACCGUCUAAUGCCUGUCAAGUCAGUGCCUUAACCUGGAAUGAUGAGCAGGCCACCAGGGGCUCCCCUGCCUCACCCACCCCAAGAGGCUCCCUCUCACCAGCACCAGGAACUGGGGGCCUCAGGUCAGCGGGUCUGGCUGGAGCCUCUCAGAGGCCGUCACCUCUGGCCCCUCAGCCACAGGCUGAUCCAGGAGCCAUGGAGCAUAUUCUCGUAAAGGGACAAGUAAUGAAAGGACACCAGAGGGGCAGCAGACUAUGAGGAGUGGGCACAGCUUAGAAGGAUGUGGAGCGAGGGGUCCCAGCAGGGGAUGGGCAGCUGCGGGCAGAACCCUGGUCAGGGGCAGCACAAGUCUCAGAGAGGCUCAGGGCCUCUGCCCACAUGUUGGCUGGACCUGGGCUGGGCUGGACACCCUGGGCUGCAGUGGCUUUGUGGGCACCUCACACAUCUCCUCUGACAGCAGCACCCCCUGUUCCAAGAGGACCCAUCCCGACUCUGAGACCUGACUGGGCGGCCUCCUGGCAUGCUGGAUGCUGGAGUAGUCACGUGGUUUCUGGUGUGGUCCCCUGACCCUUGGUGGCCACAUUGACUUGUGGGACCUAGAUGGGACCGGGAGAUGGCUGGACAAGAAAGCCCCCCAGUUGGGUCUUCUCAUUCGGGGAAUCAGCCCAGGGAUCAAGGAAACAAAGGGGUGCACAUCAGGGGAGGAAAUUGGAGUCUGGCAGCUGCGUGUAUCCCCCACAGCCCCCAGGGGGCUGGAAUCAUUGCCCCUAGACUUGCAGUGUGAGCCCGCAGCCUCAGGGCCCUGAGACCCAGCAAGGGGUGUGGUGCCACUGCAGCUGAGUGACUUCUGAUCCAUACACUCAGUCCCAGACAGCACUCCACUCCUCGUCUCUCCCCAGCGGGAAGGAGGAAGCAGAGGGAAGUGUCCCCACGAUGAGACAUGCGCCACCCCUGACCCUGGUCCCAGGGCGGGGCCGCGGGAGCCCUCCCAGGACGGUGGGUGCGUGUGUCCACUCCUCAGGGUGGGCCGCGCAGGUGGGUCGUGGAGCUGCUGGGCCAGCUGCACCGCUGUGUGACUCCAGGACAGACUCGCGGGCGGACACCGCAGAGGCCACUGUGCACUGUCUGCGACCUGGGGAAGAGCAGCCUUCCUGGCCUCGAGCGAGCCCCUGGCUGAGCAACUUCCACAGCCCAGGGAGCCCUGGCGGAGGAGAGGGUUUUCUGAGCAGAGAAUGUUCCCGAGGACCCGGAGCUCAGCUCACAGGCAUCCCUCGAGGGAACGACUCAGAUGUGUGUGUUCAUUCCUUCCUUCCAUCAGUCAGUCAGUCAGCCAGUCAGCCAGUCAUUUAAUUCCUUAUUCAUCCAUGUGUUUAUUUCCAGCUGAAGCCACAGAUAGGCACCAUGAAGCGGGAUCUCGGAGGGAACCGCACACGAGUAGGGACGGGUCAGAGCAGGACCCUGAAGCCAAACCUCAUGGUCUGAGCCCUGCUCACCACUCAGCUGUGUUACCUGGGACAGGUCGCUUGCCGUCUCCGUAUCCGGGUCUGUCAGCUGAGGACAGUGAUAAGCCCGCCCCGUGGGGUGUGAGCUGAUGAGUCUGUGUGGACGGUGCCCAGGACAAGGCCUGGCCCCCGCGACCCAGGGCUCUGGGCUCUCUCCACAGAACUGCCGGGUCAGGGGACAAUUUCCAUCUCCUGUGGGGACGUGACCUGUGCACCCGCCGGGCAGAGGGUGCGACAGUGUUGGGUGGGGCCUGCUCUCUGCGACCAUCCUGAGAGUGAACGACUUGCAUUCUCACCAUACCCACGUUUAAUUCAUAAGGAUUCAAAUACAUGCAUUUUGCCAGAAAAAAUGAGAAAGCUAAUUCAAAUUAAACUGUAAAAUUAAA